AAGUCGUAACAAGGUUUCCGUAGGUGAACCUGCGGAAGGAUCAUCAUCGAAUUCAUAUCCCCCUCCUCUCCCGGAGGGGGACCCAUGAUAAACCCUUCUGUGCACCGUAAACCGUUCACUUUGGCAGGCUUUGGUGGUGAGCGUGAGCUCGCCUCCAACCUCGCGUUCCCUCCCUAAGGGAGUUUUACGCGUGGCGGCCUGCCGGAGUCCCAUUAAAAAACUCGUUUUCGAACACGUCUGAAAAUUUCCUUUGAGAAAUCAAAGAACCGAAAACAACUUUCAACAACGGAUCUCUUGGCUCUC
Molecule: unclassified non-coding RNA, 303 nt
Filed under: fungal sp.
Lineage: Eukaryota; Fungi
Description: partial internal transcribed spacer region
Rfam family: Eukaryotic small subunit ribosomal RNA (bases 1-46)
Source: RNAcentral